RNAcentral lists this ribosomal RNA (723 nucleotides) under Pseudomonas sp. AR52. RNAcentral describes it as "bacterial SSU rRNA". It matches the Rfam family "Bacterial small subunit ribosomal RNA", at positions 56 to 775 of the family's 1533-position model. The record is from RNAcentral. Lineage: Bacteria; Pseudomonadati; Pseudomonadota; Gammaproteobacteria; Pseudomonadales; Pseudomonadaceae.
UGCAGUCGAGCGGUAGAGAGGUGCUUGCAUCUCUUGAGAGCGGCGGACGGGUGAGUAAUGCCUAGGAAUCUGCCUAGUGGUGGGGGAUAACGUUCGGAAACGGACGCUAAUACCGCAUACGUCCUACGGGAGAAAGCGGGGGAUCUUCGGACCUCGCGCCAUUAGAUGAGCCUAGGUCGGAUUAGCUAGUUGGUGAGGUAAUGGCUCACCAAGGCGACGAUCCGUAACUGGUCUGAGAGGAUGAUCAGUCACACUGGAACUGAGACACGGUCCAGACUCCUACGGGAGGCAGCAGUGGGGAAUAUUGGACAAUGGGCGAAAGCCUGAUCCAGCCAUGCCGCGUGUGUGAAGAAGGUCUUCGGAUUGUAAAGCACUUUAAGUUGGGAGGAAGGGUAGUAACCUAAUACGUUGCUGCUUUGACGUUACCGACAGAAUAAGCACCGGCUAACUUCGUGCCAGCAGCCGCGGUAAUACGAAGGGUGCAAGCGUUAAUCGGAAUUACUGGGCGUAAAGCGCGCGUAGGUGGUUCAGCAAGUUGGAUGUGAAAGCCCUGGGCUCAACCUGGGAACUGCAUCCAAAACUACUGAGCUAGAGUACGGUAGAGGGUAGUGGAAUUUCCUGUGUAGCGGUGAAAUGCGUAGAUAUAGGAAGGAACACCAGUGGCGAAGGCGACUACCUGGACUGAUACUGACACUGAGGUGCGAAAGCGUGGGGAGCAAACAG